Molecule: non-coding RNA, 24 nt
Filed under: Arabidopsis thaliana (thale cress)
Lineage: Eukaryota; Viridiplantae; Streptophyta; Magnoliopsida; Brassicales; Brassicaceae
Source: RNAcentral
AAUGUGAAUAACAUUUGGCGCCAA